GGUUGUCGGCUGCUUGGUGAAAGUUCAGUCCCCCGUCAACACAGGAUGCUUUCAGGAACAGUAUUGAAUGUAGGUCACCUGCAUUUUGGCAGCAUUAACAUUGCCCAAAACACAAAAGUAAAAUAGACUCAAAGCGUUUUGAGUUGCGAUAUGGCACGUACAGGGUGAGUGAAUCACUAGCCUGUGUAGACAGCUCUAUUGAUUAAAACAAAAUGUGCUCUGUCAGAUACGCGUUAGAGAGACAACUGAAGAACGCAGCUGUAGCAACUCCUGUACAGAUGAACCUUUGCAGUAAAGGAGAAGUGAGAGGAAUUGAGAAAACUAAUAUCAUCUACGCUGCUCACUCCCAACUCCAAAUAACAGACUGCGACUCCUCUCCCCAACUGGUGUGUACCCUCCCAGCAAAGUGAGUGCACUGGGCAUAUUGGGAUGUGAUAGGGAGAGGGGGCUGCUGAACACGGAGAAAUAACAAGCUGGGUCUCUUUAUCAGGUGUUUUGCACACUUUUCAAAGCACGUCAUGCAGGCCAGUGUUUUGUUUCUAGAUUUGUGUGGAUGGUGACUUAUGAUUUGGGGGUCCGGGGGUCUACCCCCUAAAACCUUUCAGCAUUAAACACUUCAUUUCCUGCAUUCUGGUGAGUUGUAUGCAUCUAAUUUUACCUUUUUCUGAAUCAAUGUAUGCUGGAAAUAUCUUUAUGUAAAGGGAACCAGAUUACAAUCCAAAUAUAAAAACGUAAUGGAAAAUAUCGCAGUAAGGCUCUCAGGAAUUCUGUGUUGCUUUCAUCUAUUUAUUCUCCUUUAGAUUUAAUUUUUAAAUUAUAUCUGAGUCAGCAGACAUCUAGCCUAAAGGCAUCAUUUACUCCUCCCUGUUUUGGGUCUUUUGUUGGGGAAGUAACUUCCGUAAAUGUGCAUAUUAUUCAACUCAGUAAAACAUAUUAUCAAUUUAAAUGUAUUAAUAAAUCCCUGGACUGUAAUAUUUCAGAUGUGUUUGAGAAAGAUUUCUGCUCAUGCUCAUGCAAAUUCAAAAUAUAACUCAUCUGUGCUCUCUGAGAUUUGGAGGAGUUGUGAUGUUUUGAGAAAAGUAAAGUGAUAAUACAAUAGGCU
This is a long non-coding RNA of Etheostoma cragini (Arkansas darter), 1102 nucleotides long. RefSeq lists it as uncharacterized. Lineage: Eukaryota; Metazoa; Chordata; Actinopteri; Perciformes; Percidae. The record is from RefSeq and is a predicted model, not a curated record. The transcript is spliced from 3 exons.